GACGAACCGUGCGAACGUUGUUCGGAAUCAUUGGGCUUAAAGGGCGCGUAGGCGGGUCGGCAAGUCAGGGGUGAAAUCCCACGGCUCAACCGUGGAAGUGCCUCUGAUACUGCCGGUCUCGAGGGGGGUAGGGGCGUGCGGAACUUCCGGUGGAGCGGUGAAAUGCGUAGAUAUCGGAAGGAACACCGGUGGCGAAAGCGGCGCGCUGGACCCCAUCUGACGCUGAGGCGCGAAAGCCAGGGGAGCAAACGGG
Molecule: ribosomal RNA, 253 nt
Filed under: uncultured prokaryote
Description: partial 16S ribosomal RNA
Rfam family: Bacterial small subunit ribosomal RNA
Source: RNAcentral